This 462-nucleotide ribosomal RNA is filed under the name uncultured bacterium. RNAcentral's name for it is "bacterial SSU rRNA". It matches the Rfam family "Bacterial small subunit ribosomal RNA", at positions 8 to 485 of the family's 1533-position model. The record is from RNAcentral.
AGAGUUUGAUCAUGGCUCAGAAUGAACGCUGGCGGCAUGGAUUAGGCAUGCAAGUCGAACGAUGAAGCCUAGCUUGCUAGGUGAAUUAGUGGCGAAAGGGUGAGUAACGCGUGAGCAACCUGCCCUCAAGAUUGGGACAACACCUGGAAACGGGUACUAAUACCGGAUGUGCUUAUAAUGACUAUGUUAUACUAAGUAAAUAUUUAUAGCUUGAGGAUGGGCUCGCGUUCCAUUAGCUAGUUGGUAAGGUAACGGCUUACCAAGGCAACGAUGGAUAGCUGGUCUGAGAGGAUGACCAGCCACACUGGGACUGAGAUACUGCCCAGACUCCUACGGGAGGCUGCAGUCGAGAAUCUUCCGCAAUGCGCGAAAGCGUGACGGAGCAAUGCCGCGUGCAGGAUGAAGGCCCUUGGGUUGUAAACUGCUGUCACUAGGGAUGAAUAAAAUGACAGACCAGAGAGA